Molecule: ribosomal RNA, 141 nt
Filed under: uncultured bacterium
Lineage: Bacteria
Description: partial 16S ribosomal RNA
Rfam family: Bacterial small subunit ribosomal RNA
Source: RNAcentral
UGGGGGAUAUUGCACAAUGGGGGGAACCCGUGAUGCAGCGACGCCGCGUGAGUGAAGAAGUAAUUCGUUAUGUAAAGCUCUAUCAGCAGGGAAGAAGAAAUGACGGUACCUGAGUAAGAAGCCCCGGCUAACUACGUGCCG